RNAcentral lists this ribosomal RNA (807 nucleotides) under uncultured bacterium. RNAcentral describes it as "bacterial SSU rRNA". It matches the Rfam family "Bacterial small subunit ribosomal RNA", at positions 43 to 843 of the family's 1533-position model. The record is from RNAcentral.
CUGGCUUAACACAUGCAAGUCGAGGGGCAUCAGGAAGAAAGCUUGCUUUCUUUGCUGGCGACCGGCGCACGGGUGAGUAACACGUAUCCAACCUGCCCUUUACUCGGGGAUAGCCUUUCGAAAGAAAGAUUAAUACCCGAUAGCAUAAUGAUUCCGCAUGGUUUCAUUAUUAAAGGAUUCCGGUAAAGGAUGGGGAUGCGUUCCAUUAGGUUGUUGGUGAGGUAACGGCCCACCAAGCCUUCGAUGGAUAGGGGUUCUGAGAGGAAGGUCCCCCACAUUGGAACUGAGACACGGUCCAAACUCCUACGGGAGGCAGCAGUGAGGAAUAUUGGUCAAUGGGCGCUAGCCUGAACCAGCCAAGUAGCGUGAAGGAUGAAGGCUCUAUGGGUCGUAAACUUCUUUUAUAUAAGAAUAAAGUGCAGUAUGUAUACUGUUUUGUAUGUAUUAUAUGAAUAAGGAUCGGCUAACUCCGUGCCAGCAGCCGCGGUAAUACGGAGGAUCCGAGCGUUAUCCGGAUUUAUUGGGUUUAAAGGGAGCGUAGGUGGACUGGUAAGUCAGUUGUGAAAGUUUGCGGCUCAACCGUAAAAUUGCAGUUGAUACUGUCAGUCUUGAGUACAGUAGAGGUGGGCGGAAUUCGUGGUGUAGCGGUGAAAUGCUUAGAUAUCACGAAGAACUCCGAUUGCGAAGGCAGCUCACUGGACUGCAACUGACACUGAUGCUCGAAAGUGUGGGUAUCAAACAGGAUUAGAUACCCUGGUAGUCCACACAGUAAACGAUGAAUACUCGCUGUUUGCGAUAUACAGUAAG